GCCAGGCUUCGCCCAUCGACCGCCACAGCCUAUUUUUAGUCAUCGACCGGUCUAUACCUACGUGAAAAUUUCAGGGCGCGCCCAUUGGCUGAGGGAAAAUGACGUCACACUUCCCGACCGACCAAUGGCAGCGCCGCGUUUUGCGCAUGGCCCGAAAGCCUUUUCUGUUCACUGCCGAGAUCCGGCAGUCCGGGCGAGGUGUUCCCAGGUGUGCAAGUACCCGCCAACACAAACAAAGGGCACACGCUGGCGCACCAUGGUGAACGAGCCCACAACCAAUACAUAUCAAAUAAACGCACUGACCUACACCUAGAUAUACACUAAGUUAUCGCGAUAUUCAAACUAAAGCAAUCUCAUUUUACAAUCAAACUUUUUCGAUAUCGAAUAUUUGAUCUUCAGUAUAAGUAGUGAGGGAUAGUUGCGGGAUAGUCGAAGGAUAUUUGCGAGAUAGUCGAGGAUAGUCGAGGGAUAGUUAUUCUGUGGAGGGGAUAGUAAGUGUCGACCGUGGAGGCGGAGACGGGCGCGCUGCUGACGCGGCUGGGGGGCGCGCUGCGGGGGGGCGCCGCCGCCGCGUCGCCCGCGAGGGUCGCCAGCUCCAUCCGGGGCUACCUCACGCACAAGGUCGGCUCCUUGCAGCUGCGCGAUACAGGUUCCGAACUCCCAAUCGAGGGUCACGCUGAGGGACGACGCGUUAAUGUGUAAGCGACGCGCGCACACUUUGAAGAUGAACACAGGAUCUCAUAAAUAGAUUACGUUACCGAGACUCUA
Trichoplusia ni (cabbage looper) is the source of this 768-nucleotide long non-coding RNA. RefSeq lists it as uncharacterized. The transcript is spliced from 3 exons. The record is from RefSeq and is a predicted model, not a curated record. Lineage: Eukaryota; Metazoa; Arthropoda; Insecta; Lepidoptera; Noctuidae.